AGCUUUAUAUUCAAUAAUGAUUUUAAAUUGCAAAUUUAAAGGUGGAUAAUUUCUAAGGCUU
This 61-nucleotide transfer RNA is filed under the name Cassida sp. EMHAU-15090501. Its description in RNAcentral is "tRNA-Cys". The record is from RNAcentral. Lineage: Eukaryota; Metazoa; Arthropoda; Insecta; Coleoptera; Chrysomelidae.